GGCACUUUUUAAGAGAUCUAUACAAACAGAAAUUGUUUAUAUAGAUCUUCACUGAAAAUGGCGAAUUCCUCUAGAAGGCCGAGUGGGCCAGUGUUGCUUAAAUCGGCGUUUGAGAGGUCAAUCUCACCUACCGGCAGGUUCUGUAACACCACCACCACAGCAACUGAUGCGAUGUCGUUCGCUUCGUACAGCAACUCUAGCUUUUAUUCCUCUCCGUCGACCGGCUGUUUCAACCGAUCGGCUUCUCCGACGCGCGUGAAUCUUCACGCUCUGGCGCCGGUGAAUUCUUCGCCUAGCGUUAGGUUCUCCAUUGACAGAUCCAUUUCUCCUCGGCGUUCCAUGGCGGUGUCUCAACGUGAUCAGGUGGUUCGGAAGCAGAUCCCGAAGAGGACGUGCUUAUGCUCACCUACGACGCAUCCUGGUUCGUUCAGGUGUAGUAUGCAUAAGAAUGUGAAGAAUACUCCUUCGAUUUCGUAUUCCCCUAGCCGAUUGAAUGCACGGAGAUCGGCGAUGACAAAUUCACUGGUGCGUAUCUGUUCUGUUGAAGGUGAUUUAGUGAAACGAGCUUUGGCUGCUCUUAUUAGGCCAUCGUCGCAUCAUCAGAGACGUCGAGGUGACUUUCAACCGCGUCCUAGCCGGCUUUCCAGAAUGUCCAAAGCUGAUAACCUGUGAAAUUUCCGUGGUAACAGGUUGGUGAUUUUCAUAUAUUAACUGAGGCUCAUCUCUUGAGAGUUUUCCGGCGGCGGCGUCUGAUCCUGGCUGCGGUUCUUACUACUCCGGUGAAAUGAAAGCUGUAGGGCAAUUUUGAUGCACCUUUGUGUUUUCCGUCGUGUUUGGCGUUCAUCGUUCCGUUUUGCGAUGGCAUUUCCCGUUCGUUCGCCGUAUAUGCGUUCGUCCUGUUUUGGCAUCUUUGCGUCAUCGUUCGAGGUUCGGCGUAUAAUUCAAAUUCUUGGACUAACGGAGAGCUGAUGCCGUGUACGUAUUUAACUACAGAUCUUCGUAAAUUUUACCUUGUCUUGGAUGACGGAGGGAGAUGGGAGACUGAAAAUGAACGUUAAAUUCAAGUGAGACAUUUGAACCUACUGGACAAAGUAACAAAAGAGGAAUCUUGUUAUUACAAUAAUGAAAAUAAUAAUAAUAGUAAAGUCUAAAAGGAGAAAUAAUAAUUUGGAAAUUAAGUAAAGGGGAAACGCCAUUAAUGAAAGCAAGAAAAUGGGAUACAGGCUGUACUGGUAUGGCCCAGUUAGAAUGCCAGUGGUCCUAAGCAUGAACUUUCCCGAACAUUGUGAAGUUACGGUAUGAUUAAAAAUAGCUGGAGGUUAGUUGGCAUAUUGAGGGAAAGAUAGGAAAUGAGGAAUGAGUCCAAAAAAAGGGAGGUCUUGAGUAGUUCCUACUUCAUGAUCCAGUCCCUUUUUGUUCAUAUUCAUUCACACUCCCAUUUAAUAUCCACCCUAUAUAUACCAAAAACUAGUGACACAGAGUGCCAAGGAGAGGACUUGGAAAACGAAAGUUUUUUAUUAUCAACCUAAACAUGACACCAUUGGAAUGGUUGCCACACUGCCACUCUAUUUGUUAAUAUCCAUUAAUAUUUCUUGCAAGAAAUCUACAAUUAUUUUAAACCUAAAGUAACACUUAUUGGUCAUGAUUCAACUGUAUUUGACAUAAUUCUUUUAUAAGUUAGAUUUCAACCAUUACCUAAAGAUCUUUAGCAACCACAUAACUCAUUCACCUUGUAAAAAGCUUGUUGACCUAGAAAAGACAUAAGAUAAUGCUCACAAAAUUUCCAAGGAAGUUUUAUAAAGGUGUUUGGAGUUUAAAGGUGUUCUCUUUUGGCUUAUAAUAAAGCAAUUAAAGACAUUUUAUGAUGGAGCCAAAGAUUUGGAUAGGAAUUGUGAGAGGUGAUUAUUAAAACAUUUUUCUAUCAUGACGAGGUUGCACGAGGGAUCUACCCUUAGUAUGUUAGGAUGAAUUAACGUGGUGUAUUUAAGGAGAGGUGUCAUGAAUAUGUAUGAUAUUCGCUAAUGACAUAUUAUUUAUCAACCAAACGUGCAGUUGAGUUAGCGAUAGGUUGGAAGUUUGGACACGGUCCCUAGAUCUAAAGGUGUCAAAUUACAUGACUAAAACAAAGUACAUGGAGUGCAAGUUCAAUGGUGUAACACAUGAAAACAGAGGUGGAAGUGAAGAUUAAUAUACAAGUCAUACCCGGAAGAGGAUGUUUCAAGUAUCUUGGGUCAAUAAUCCAAGAAAACGAAAAAUAUUGAUGAUGACUCACACGUUGUAUUGGAGUGGAAGGGUGAAUUGGAGGUUUGCUUUCGGCAUACUAUGUGAUAAGAAUGUGUCACUAGAGCUUAAAGGUAAGUUCCGUAUAGUAAUGGUUAGACCUACUUCGUUGUAUGAGGAUAGAGUGCAGGCGAAUCAAGAACACGCAUGUUUAAAAGAUGAAAUUAGCAGAUAUGAGGAGGAUGCUCAGAUGCGUGUUUAGCAUACUAAGAGAGAUAAGAUUAGGAACAAAGUUAUACAAGAUAAGGCGGAAGUUAGUGACUACUAUGGCAGACAAGAUGAGGGAAGAAAUUAAGAUAGUUCGGACAUGUGAAGAGGAGGUGUGCGGAUGCACCAAUAAAAAGGUGUGAGAGGCUGACUAUGAGAACACACCGUUUCUGCGAAGAAGGUAUGUAAGACAGAGGUUUCCUAACAAACGAUAUUCUCCUUCUCUUGAUUACUUGUUACUAACAGAUUCAGUCAGCUUAGCUGUUUUGAUAAGGCAAUGCAGGUUGAUAGCAAGUUCAAGUGGAUUGAGGAAAUGAUGAAGUGUACUCACUCCACAUAAAUCAAAGUUGGGGGUUGGUCAAACUACCAGAAGGGAAUAAGACAAUCCAGAAUAAUGUAUGUACAGGAUGAAACAGAAGCAUAAUAGUUCAAUGAAAUAUAAAGCAAGGUUGGUAAUAAAAGGUUUUCAACAAAAGGCAUGUAUCAAUUUACUGAGAUUUUCUCCCUUGUGAUUAAAUUACCUACUAUUCGAGUUGCUUUAGAAUUGCUGUAGCAUAAGAUUUAUAUUUAGAGCAUUUAGAUGUAAGGACAGCCUCUCUUUAUGAUGAUCAACAUGAAAGACGUGUAUGCGUAGCAACCUGAAGUGUACAUACAGGCUGAUAAGAAAAAUAUGGUGCGUAGACUGAAGAAGAGUCUCUAUGGUUUGAAACAAGCACCAAGACCAUACUUAAAGUUUGGCAGGUUUAUGAUGACUAUUGGCUUACUUGGUAUAAUGAUGAUCACUGUUCUUACUUCAAGAAAUUUAUAAAUUCGUACAUCACUUUGCUCCUGUAUAUGGAUGAUAUGUUGGUGACAGGUUAAAACAUGUGUGGGAUCACAAAACUGAAGGAGCAAAUGUCUAGUGAAUUUUUUGAUAAAGAAUUUGGGACUGGAAAUUGAAAGAGACAGGUUGAAGCUGAGUCAGAAGAAAUAGAUUGAAAAAAUAAUUCUUAAAGAGGCUAAACAUUUGGGAUGCCAAGUUGGUGCACUUCAAGAAAAUCUGAAAGCAAGUCCUUUGGCAGGUCACUUGAAUUGGGAUUGUUUUUGGCAAGCGUAGAAGUUAACUUUGUUUGAAAGAAAGAAUCUUGAGACACAGGUUUCAUAGAGGAGCAGAUUACAAAGUGUUGCUUUAUUGCAGAAGUUGAUUUGGUGAGCUCCACCCUUCACCGUGGAAUUUCUUCUUUUUUCAGUUAGAAUUUUUUUUAAUUCAGUUUUUGGGGAAUAGCCAGAAAAUUUGUGUUCUGUGCAUUCCCUUUAGCGCUCCAGUAGAAAGUGUCGGCUCUUGGUUGAAGCCGGUAAAUCAAAC
RNAcentral lists this unclassified non-coding RNA (3832 nucleotides) under Hevea brasiliensis (rubber tree). Lineage: Eukaryota; Viridiplantae; Streptophyta; Magnoliopsida; Malpighiales; Euphorbiaceae. The record is from RNAcentral.